RNAcentral lists this non-coding RNA (21 nucleotides) under Arabidopsis thaliana (thale cress). Lineage: Eukaryota; Viridiplantae; Streptophyta; Magnoliopsida; Brassicales; Brassicaceae. The record is from RNAcentral.
AUAACGUGGGUUCGCUUCUGC